CAUCUUUGGAGACAAACCAGGGUUUUGUUGAAACAUUUUUAAGCAAGCAAACAAACAAAUGCUUGGUUGUCCAGAUAAUAGGAAGCAAGCUUUUUUUUUUUUUUUUUUAAAUAGCGCUUUAAUUAUUUUUUAAAAACCGUGGAGGCUGUAGAAACAAACUCGUUGGGCAAUCCGGUGCUUUUAUUCCUCUCAGGCGGCGUGGGGGCGUUAUGAGCCAUUGUUCCGGGGAUCCGACCCCCUCACCCGCCGUCACCUACUGCACGCGGCGGGGGUCGCGCUCCUUCAUCAUUUCUGAGCAGCGAGCUCAGCUUCCGACAGAGGAGCCGGCCUGGCGGGGCUGCCUGGGCUAGGUGCACCAGGGCGUCCGGAGCCGGGCAGGCAGCCCCCACCAUCCGCAAAGCGUGAGGAAGUCUUCCUGCGAGGCCGGCAGGCCGCGGGGGCUCAGGAGAGCUCCGCGCAUUGCCUACUGUAGACCCAGAGGCUUGUCAGAGGAGAGGCCGCCCGCCCCCACGCUCGACAUCCCGCGCGGGGUUACCCUCUUCCCUGCGCGGGCAGCAGCCCCCUCCCCUGCGUCGCCGGCGACUCGCACAGCACCGCCCGCUCCUGCGCGUUGCGCUCCUUGCCGGCGCCCGCCGCCUCCGCCUCCGCGUUCAGCGGGCGGGGGCGCCGGGCGACCCCCAAGGCAGGUGGGGGGUCCCAGGGUGGGACUUGGGGGUCUGGGGCAGGUGUGGGCUAAGGAGGAACGCCAGCCGGGCCCCCCUCGCUCCCGAGGCGAGCUGGGAGUCCUGGGAAACGUCUCCGCCACGGUGCAGAGCUCGCAGGUUAGCAUCUGUAAUUCUUCCUCCACAGUUCUGCUUGGCAUUUUCACAUAACUGUUGAAGACUGAAAGUUCUGAAAACGUGGAGCCACCAGCCGACUUCCCUUUCCGUCUCAUUAGUCGGGGUGGAGGCACAAGGCCAGCUGAGCUACGAGGGAAACAAGGAAGUGAGUUUCUGGCAACGGGAGGUGGGACGGUCGUGACCAGGCAAAGCGGCUGCUUCAGUGUCCCCGGAACGUUGAAAAAUAAGAGUUUUAUUUCCUUGUAAAAGUUAAUAGAUAAUCAUGAAGAAAGUUUGGAAAGAGGAAAAAAAAAAAAAUUCCCCCAAUGCGGCUGCUCAGCACCCUUUUAACACUUAUAAUCAUAUUGUACUGUGGGACUUUUUUUGACUUAACAUGAUUAGUUUAAAGCUCUAUGGUUUUUGAAAUCUAUUAUUUCGAAAUAAAACAUAAACCAAGGAGGUAGCA
RNAcentral lists this long non-coding RNA (1284 nucleotides) under Sus scrofa (pig). Its description in RNAcentral is "lncRNA (ENSSSCG00030054140.1)". The record is from RNAcentral. Lineage: Eukaryota; Metazoa; Chordata; Mammalia; Artiodactyla; Suidae.